RNAcentral lists this ribosomal RNA (632 nucleotides) under uncultured bacterium. RNAcentral describes it as "bacterial SSU rRNA". It matches the Rfam family "Bacterial small subunit ribosomal RNA", at positions 160 to 830 of the family's 1533-position model. The record is from RNAcentral.
AGAGUAAUACCGUAUACGCCCUUUUGGGGAAAGAUUUAUCGGUGAAGGAUUAGCCCGCGUCUGAUUAGAUAGUUGGUGGGGUAACGGCCUACCAAGUCGACGAUCAGUAGCUGGUUUGAGAGGAUGAUCAGCAACACUGGGACUGAGACACGGCCCAGACUCCUACGGGAGGCAGCAGUGGGGAAUCUUAGACAAUGGGCGCAAGUGAUCUAGCCAUGCCGCGUGAGUGACGAAGGCCUUAGGGUCGUAAAGCUCUUUCGCCAGGGAUGAUAAUGACAGUACCUGGUAAAGAAACCCCGGCUAACUCCGUGCCAGCAGCCGCGGUAAUACGGAGGGGGUUAGCGUUGUUCGGAAUUACUGGGCGUAAAGCGCACGUAGGCGGAUCAGAAAGUUGGGGGUGAAAUCCCGGGGCUCAACCCCGAACUGCCUUCAAAACUCCUGGUCUAGAGUUCGAGAGAGGUGAGUGGAAUUCCGAGUGUAGAGGUGAAAUUCGUAGAUAUUCGGAGGAACACCAGUGGCGAAGGGGCUCACUGGCUCGAUACUGACGCUGAGGUGCGAAAGUGUGGGGAGCAAACAGGAUUAGAUACCCUGGUAGUCCACACCGUAAACGAUGAAUGCCAGACGUCGGGCAG